This 543-nucleotide ribosomal RNA is filed under the name uncultured bacterium. RNAcentral's name for it is "partial 16S ribosomal RNA". It matches the Rfam family "Bacterial small subunit ribosomal RNA", at positions 355 to 914 of the family's 1533-position model. The record is from RNAcentral.
UGGGGAAUAUUGCACAAUGGGCGAAAGCCUGAUGCAGCAACGCCGCGUGAGUGAUGAAGGCCUUCGGGUUGUAAAGCUCUGUCUUUUGGGACGAUAAUGACGGUACCAAAGGAGGAAGCCACGGCUAACUACGUGCCAGCAGCCGCGGUAAUACGUAGGUGGCAAGCGUUUGUCCGGAUUUACUGGGCGUAAGGGAUGCGUAGGCGGAUUUUUAAGUGAGAUGUGAAGACCCUAAGCUUAACUUGGGACUGCAUUUCAUACUGGAAAUCUAGAGUGCGGGAGAGGAGAAUGGAAUUCCUAGUGUAGCGGUGAAAUGCGUAGAGAUUAGGAAGAACGCCAGUGGCGAAGGCGAUUCUCUGGACCGUAACUGACGCUGAGGCAUGAAAGCGUGGGUAGCAAACAGGAUUAGAUACCCUGGUAGUCCACGCCGUAAACGAUGAGUACUAGGUGUAGGAGGUAUCGACCCCUUCUGUGCCGCAGUUAACACAAUAAGUACUCCGCCUGGGAAGUACGAUCGCAAGAUUAAAACUCAAAGGAAUUGAC